This 937-nucleotide ribosomal RNA is filed under the name uncultured Bacteroidota bacterium. RNAcentral describes it as "bacterial SSU rRNA". It matches the Rfam family "Bacterial small subunit ribosomal RNA", at positions 52 to 989 of the family's 1533-position model. The record is from RNAcentral. Lineage: Bacteria; Pseudomonadati; Bacteroidota.
UACAUGCAAGUCGAGGGAGAUUGUUGGAUUCGUCUGACAUGAAACCGGCGCACGGGUGCGUAACACGUAUGCAACCUACCUUUAACUGGGGUAUAGCUCAGAGAAAUCUGAAUUAAUCCCCCAUAAGACUACGACAUGGCAUCAUGAUGUAGUUAAAGCUCCGGCGGUUAAGGAUGGGCAUGCGGUACAUUAGCUAGUUGGUGAGGUAAUGGCUCACCAAGGCUACGAUGUAUAGGGGGUCUGAGAGGAUGAUCCCCCACACUGGUACUGAGACACGGACCAGACUCCUACGGGAGGCAGCAGUAGGGAAUAUUGGUCAAUGGACGCAAGUCUGAACCAGCCAUGCCGCGUGAAGGAUGAAGGCCCUCUGGGUCGUAAACUUCUUUUAUUAGGGAAGAAAACAUGGGAUGCGUCCCAAACUGACGGUACUUAAUGAAUAAGGAUCGGCUAACUUCGUGCCAGCAGCCGCGGUAAGACGAAGGAUCCAAGCGUUGUCCGGAUUUACUGGGUUUAAAGGGUGCGUAGGCGGAAAAUUAAGUCAGUGGUGAAAGCCCGCAGCUCAACUGUGGAACUGCCAUUGAAACUGAUUUUCUUGAAUAUAGCUGAGGCAGAUGGAAUAUAACAUGUAGCGGUGAAAUGCUUAGAUAUGUUAUAGAACACCGAUUGCGAAGGCAGUCUGCUAAACUAUUAUUGACGCUGAGGCACGAAAGCGUGGGGAGCGAACAGGAUUAGAUACCCUGGUAGUCCACGCCCUAAACGUUGAUUACUCGCUGUUGGCGAUAUACUGUCAGUGGCUAAGCGAAAGCGUUAAGUAAUCCACCUGGGAAGUACGACCGCAAGGUUGAAACUCAAAGGAAUUGACGGGGGCCCGCACAAGCGGAGGAGCAUGUGGUUUAAUUCGAUGAUACGCGAGAAACCUUACCUGGGCUUAAAUGUC